RNAcentral lists this long non-coding RNA (744 nucleotides) under Gossypium raimondii (Peruvian cotton). RNAcentral describes it as "long non-coding RNA (GRAI_LNC001263)". The record is from RNAcentral. Lineage: Eukaryota; Viridiplantae; Streptophyta; Magnoliopsida; Malvales; Malvaceae.
UCAAGUUCACACUUCAUGAGAAAUACCGACGGCUUCCUCCAGAUGCCGCAAUGUAAGUGGUUAAACCUAUUUAAAACAGAAAAUGGUGCAAAUUUUCAUUUUACUUCCAAAUACAAGUAUAUGGCAAUUGAUUUUUAUGUUUCUUUUACUAUAGUAGUUUAGAGUUCACAUGUAACGGACUGUUUGCGCUUAUCCUGCAGAACUUUGUAAUUUUUCAUUAUUGCAGAUUCUCUUUAUUAAGCUAAUAGAAUUCAAUAAACUUUAUAUUCAAUAAACUUUAUAUGAAAUUGUGCAAGUCCGUUACAAUGCCAUGGAAAACGCGUCACGACAACAUUGGUUCAACCAAAUGUGCUUGAUUCUCAUCAUUAGUAAAUCUGUUUAUUGAAUGUUACUUUUACAGAUGGAUUUCCAAUACCUUCUAUGCCAGUCUGCAAUUUAAACUCACCGGCAAGGACAGAAUUCGGUGCACCCUCUCAUUUCAACACCUCAUUUCAAUCCUUGCUAGCAACACCAGAUCAAACAGAGAAGACAAGGAAUCAAAAUCCUGCAGCAGACGAAAACUCAGUUUCUGAAAAGGAGCAGGAAAGUUUAAUUGUAUGCAAUAAAAAGCAAUUUUCUCAACAGAACCGUGAUCUCUUACAGAAUAUUGUCGAUUCAUCAUCUGUGAUCAUUUCAGCACCAAUGGAGGAAAAGGACUCUGAAAGGGGAAGUGUCCAAGGUAUAGAUCUGAAUAAGACUCCCCAG